CCUUUUGAUCUAUUUUUUAUUUGUUCUGAUAUUUUUUUGUUGUUUGAUUUUUUCAUUGUUCACAACUACUAUAUGUAGAAGACCAAAGAUUGCAAUGCUUAACCACCAACUAUUGCAAUGGUUAAUAGAAUUACAAUGAUUUGUAACUAAAUGUUGCAAUGGUUGAAGAUCAAAACUUACAAUGGUUAAUCAUGUAAGGUCGUAACAGUUCAAUUAAACAGUUGUAAAUGUUCAUCCAAACAAUUGCAAUGAUUCAUUU
This 259-nucleotide long non-coding RNA is filed under the name Brassica rapa (field mustard). Its description in RNAcentral is "long non-coding RNA (BRAP_LNC005780)". Lineage: Eukaryota; Viridiplantae; Streptophyta; Magnoliopsida; Brassicales; Brassicaceae. The record is from RNAcentral.